CUGCUGUUCUCAGAGGGGGGGGUGGGAGGGGGAGGCUUGAAGUUCAGAGCUGCCGCAGGAUCCACCUCCUAGGCCGUUCUGUCUGUCGACACUUUGGCUACACUAAUAGCAUGAGCAAGCUAGUUCUGGUCAUGCUGUCUGAUCAUCCCUCCACCCAGCUUGGAGCAGUGGGGCAUCUCCUUUGCUUUGUGUAGAAUGGCUACCGUGGAGCGGAAGUCGCGAACAUUUAUGAGCAUCAGGUGGUAGAGAGCAGGCUUGAGGUGUCCUCACUUGCAGUCAAGACAGGUCAUCCAUCUCUGGGUCUUCCAGGCAAAAACAAUCUGAAGUCUCAGCAUCACCAGCUCCCCUUGGGGUAAAUCGUUGUGCUGCAUCUCUGUCCUCAUCAAGUUUUCAGUGCUGAACCUACAGUUUAGAUCCUUGUGGUGUGGGAAAUAAAUACUGGACAUUCGUGAUGUGGGAAAGCUGCCACUUUAUUUUAAAGCAAAGAGGACAGGGCUGCGUGGUCACAGGACAUGCUUGUGGGCAAUUGGUGGCCUAAUCCCUUGAUCUGUCACAGGAUGGAGCAAUUUAAUCUCUGAUUUAAGCACUCUGGUCAUCCCUACCUUUGUUGCUAUGGAAUGUAGGGUCAGACACUAAUUACUAUGGGUAGGGGCAGGCAGUGCUGAUCAAAGGGCGCUUGCAGAUACUAAACCCAUAAAUCUGAGAGAGAAGGAUUUACAACCUCAUGCCUGAAGAAGAAAGAGGCUUUGAUAUAUUUAAUCAAGUCUCAAGCCUUAAAUCCCACUAUCACAGAUCCUUGGAGUUCGAUCACUUCCCUUCUUUUGCCCGUGUCUCCUUUUGAAGUCAUUAAAACUUCCAGCUGGUCCUGAUGCAGUGCUCUGCAUUUUGUAAUAACGAGACGAUGGUGCUGUUCCCAGCAGGCUGAGAUUACACUGUGCCUGGCUCCUCUUCUGGCCCAGGAGACACGUGCAGAGAGAAAGGAUGUAGUUGGGGCUGGUCCUGCUUUGAGCAGGGGGUUGGGCUAGAUGUGACCUCCUGAGGUCCCUCCCAAACCUCCUUUUCUAUGAUUCGAUAUUUAAUAAAACAUCUCUUUGAGCCACCACAAAAGAGUUUGGCUCGCACACGGUUGCACCCUGUGCCCCCAUUUCUCUUCUGGUUUGCAGCAGGACUUCUUGGUCUUGUAGAGGAAGGGCUGAAAACAAGUAAUCAAGUUAGCAUGGGCGUGAAAGUUGAGCCUUAGCAGGUACGGGACAAUGAUGCACGCGACCCACUGACUUCACCCAGUCAGGGGGACGUGAAAGCCAGCUCAGCAGACUUGUCUUGCUCAAGCAGGCUGUGGCUACUUGAGUUAUUUUUCAGGCUCCUGUUCUCUUAUUCCCAGCCCCACUAACGUCUCUGUCCUGCCCAGAGGAGGCACCUCUUUGUGUGAAGGAUGCUGCUGUGUCGUCUGGGAACUCGGUGAUUUCACGGGGGAUGUUCUGGUUAUAAGCUGUUAAGACCAAAGCCCUCAGCUGGACCAGGAACAAAUUAAGCAACAGAAAUGGCCAGAUUGUGAGUCCAGUCAAGGUCCAAUCAAGCUGGGGAGGGGAGCAGAACAGACUUUCAUCCAGCAGUUCCUCUACAAGCUCAGACCCGGGCUGGGUUAUCAUUUCUGAGAGAGGCAGCCAGGCUUGCUUUAAAGAUUCCCAGUGAUGGAAGAUCAGUCACAUCCCUUGUUAAGUUGCUCAGCUGGCUAAUUACCCUGGCUAAUAGGCUCCUUCUCUAGUCUUCAUUUAUUUUUUGCUUUAGCUCCCAGCCAUCUGAUAACAACUGCAAGGUUACAAAUUGAAAUGUUCUAGGCUCAGGAAACGGGGGGGGAUGUGAUUCUCACUGUAAUAUUAGUUCAGUUAUUUUUAUUGUGUGUAUGCCACGGUGCAUAUUUAAAAUAAGAAUAGAGAA
This is a long non-coding RNA of Gavialis gangeticus (Gharial), 1938 nucleotides long. RefSeq lists it as uncharacterized. The record is from RefSeq and is a predicted model, not a curated record. The transcript is spliced from 2 exons. NCBI's taxonomy places the organism in Eukaryota, Metazoa, Chordata, Crocodylia, Gavialidae.